This 406-nucleotide ribosomal RNA is filed under the name uncultured bacterium. Its description in RNAcentral is "partial 16S ribosomal RNA". It matches the Rfam family "Bacterial small subunit ribosomal RNA", at positions 29 to 526 of the family's 1533-position model. The record is from RNAcentral.
AUUGAACGCUGGCGGCAGGCAUAACACAUGCAAGUCGAACGAGUGGAGGACGGGUGAGUAAUGACUGGGAAUCUGGCUGAUGGAGGGGGAUAACGACUGGAAAAGGUCGCUAAUACCGCAUACGAUAGGAUGAACCCAAGUGGGAGUAGGUAGUGGGUGGGGUAAAGGCCUACCAAGGCGACGAUCCCUAGCUGGUCUGCAAGGAUGAACAGCCACACCGGGACUGAGACACGGCCCGGACUCCUACGGGAGGCAGCAGUGGGGAAUAUUGCGCAAUGGGCGCAACCCUGACGCAGCCAUGCCGCGUGAAUGAAGAAGGCCUUCGGUUUGUAAAGUACUUUCGGCGAGGAGGCGUUACUCGCAGAAGAAGCACCGGCUAACUCCGUGCCAGCAGCCGCGGUAAUUC